UUCGCAAUGCCCGAAAGGGUGACGAAGCGACGCCGCGUGGGUGAGGAAGGCCUUCGGGUUGUAAAGCCCUGUCAGGAGUUAAGAAAUGUAAGUGCGCUAAUAUCGUGCUUAUUUGACAAAGGCUCCAAAGGAAGCCACGGCUAACUCUGUGCCAGCAGCCGCGGUAAUACAGAGGUGGCGAGCGUUGUUCGGAAUUAUUGGGCGUAAAGAGCACGUAGGUGGGUUUGCAAGUCAGAUGUGAAAGCCUUCUGUUCAACGGAAGAAUUGCAUCUGAAACUGCUAAUCUUGAGUAUAGGAGGGGAGAAUGGAACUUCUGGUGGAGCGGUGAAAUGCGUAGAUAUCAGAAGGAACGCCGGCGGCGAAAGCGAUUCUCUGGCCUAUUACUGACACUCAGUGUGCGAAAGCUAGGGGAGCAAACGGGAUUAGAUACCCCGGUAGUCCUAGCCGUAAACGAUGGGCACUAAGUAGAGGGGU
This 474-nucleotide ribosomal RNA is filed under the name uncultured Candidatus Scalindua sp. RNAcentral describes it as "bacterial SSU rRNA". It matches the Rfam family "Bacterial small subunit ribosomal RNA", at positions 365 to 829 of the family's 1533-position model. The record is from RNAcentral. Lineage: Bacteria; Pseudomonadati; Planctomycetota; Candidatus Brocadiia; Candidatus Brocadiales; Candidatus Scalinduaceae.